Molecule: small nuclear RNA, 118 nt
Filed under: Blastocladiella emersonii
Lineage: Eukaryota; Fungi; Blastocladiomycota; Blastocladiomycetes; Blastocladiales; Blastocladiaceae
Description: partial BeU5
Rfam family: U5 spliceosomal RNA
About the family: U5 RNA is a component of both types of known spliceosome. The precise function of this molecule is unknown, though it is known that the 5' loop is required for splice site selection and p220 binding, and that both the 3' stem-loop and the Sm site are important for Sm protein binding and cap methylation.
Source: RNAcentral
CGGGCCUCGAGUCGAUACAGAGCAAACGACCAUUUCGCCUUUUACUAAAUGAUCCUGUGUGCCGACUCGAUACCGGGCCUUAGUCCGAUUUUUGGGACCCACUGACGGUUUUCGUCAU